This is a long non-coding RNA of Heterocephalus glaber (naked mole-rat), 3839 nucleotides long. RefSeq lists it as uncharacterized. NCBI's taxonomy places the organism in Eukaryota, Metazoa, Chordata, Mammalia, Rodentia, Bathyergidae. The record is from RefSeq and is a predicted model, not a curated record.
CUUUUUUUCUUUUUUCUUUUUUUAAUUUUAAAACAGGAUGUCGCUGUGUAGUUCAGGCUGGCUUUGAACUCAUUAUGAAACCCAGGCUGGCCUUGAUCUUGCAGCAGUCUUCCUGCCUCAGCCUCCUGAGUGCUGUGAUUACAAGGAUGUGCCACCACGCCCAGCUUGGUCCAAUUGUUCUGGUUACAACCAGGAGGUGACUCUGUUCUCCAGCUGCCCGUUUCCUGGAGGAUUUUAUGCCACCCUCGGCUUUUCCACAGGAGCAGGCUUUGCACAGGGCUUGUGUUCCAGCAAACAUUCGUAAUCACCUGGGGCUUCGGGGCCAGAGAUGCACAGGAUGAAUUCUCUUUCUCAGGAUCUUCCUAAAUCCAGAGCGGGAGCAUCUCCAAAGGGAUGAUUUCAGUGGAAGUCGCACACAGUCUGCGCACUUUGAGCACAAAGCCAUAGCCAAGUGCACAGGCUGCUAAAAUGACUCCCAAAGAAAUGCGACACCAAGAACAACCCAAAUCCACCAGACAAAGACUUCAGACAGAAAAAGCUGAGCAGCAAGCGGAAGAAGCAGAAGCGAUGCCUUGUUUGACAUUUUUGGAGUGAGUUUCUACUCUUUCACCCUGUUCCUCAUGGGCUCGGAGGGACAGGUCGGAUAUCGUGUUCCUUGCAGAGCUCAAGCCACAGGUCCACGCAGGCAGCAGUGGGAGGGUCAGCGAGGCUUCCGACUCAGCUUACUCGAGAUGGAAAAUUCUCCUGCUACUGUGGCCUGGAUACUUGUGCAAGGCCUCCCGGGGAGGCUAGGAUUUAAGUAAGGCUCAAGGGGGCUCAUAGGUGGAGAAACAGAUCGACACGAUGCGUGCGUCCGUCUGUCCAUCCUGUGGACUAGGAUUCAGCCUCAAAAAAGGAAAGGAAGUCAGGUACAUCCUACAGCGUGGAUGCACCUUGAGGACAUGACGCUUGGUGAAAGAAACCAGACAUAAAAGGACACACACUGCAGGAUUCCACUCCCAGGGGGUCCCUAGAACCGGCAGGGCCCCAGAGACAGGAAGUAGAUGGUGGGUGCCAGGGCUGGGGAGUUCGUGUUUCACGGGGCAGAGGCGCAGCUUGGGGAGAUAAUAAAGUCCUGCAGAUGCGUGGUGGGGGGCAGCCGCCCCAAGUAGGAAUGGACUGAAUGCCACUGACCCUUGCAAUUACUGAAUGCCCUUACCAUGGCUAAAAUGGCUUUCAUUUAUGCCGAUUCCACUGUAAUCUAAAAAGAAAGACGGAGCAAUCACAGUGACCAGGCCUGGUACUACAGGAGCUGCCUGGGCCCCUGUCCUACGACCCUCAUCUGGUGGUUCCUGCCCAUUAUCUUGAUUUGGGAAAGGAGGAAUGAGAAGGAUCAGCACGUGGCUUAAGGUCAUACAUCAAGGACACGGUGGGUGGAGCUAAUUUAUAGCCAGGAAUCAGGCUCCACCAUCUUUAUCAUUUAAUGUCUGUGCUAUCUAGGGUUUAAACUGAGGGUUCCUCAUUCUUGGCUUCUUCUGACACCUCCUGUCUUCCAGGAACUUCCUGCCACUUCUUUAUGUGUCUCUGGCACCUAGUUUUCCCGUGACCAUCAGGACAGCACACAGGAGUCGAGAUGAUCCCAGGAUAACUGCCCCUGGCCACACUGCAGAGUCAGGAGUCCAGCUGGGACAGAGAAGACUAGAACACAAGUAAAACCAAAAACUCAGACUCUGCACUUGGGCAGACCCAAGUUCAAUGCCAAAAUCUACCCUGAGGAUGGAACCCAGGGCCUGCCUGAAGCAUGCUGGGAAAGUGCUCACCCCUAAACCAUACCCUAGCCUUGCACAGUCAUUAUUAGUAUGGUUUCGGGGGGCUGAGAGUGGUAGAGCCCCUGCCAAGCUGGCAAGCAGUCCUGGGUUCCAUCCCCAUCACUGAGAAGUGAGGGGUGAACAGACAAAGAAAAUGUCAUGUAUUUAUACACAGUGGAGUACUACUCUGCCGUGGAUAAAUGACUCAUUUGUGGGAAAAUGGAUAUACGCUGAGGUCGUAAUGUGAAGGAACACAGACACACAAGCUUACGUGUUGCAUGAUUUCUCUUACAUGAGAAGCUCAAAAUAUAAAUAAAGAGCAAAAUAAAAGGUAGAUGAUCAGAAACAGGAAGACAGAUCUUUUGCAAAAGGGAAGGGGAGAAGAAACGGAGGGGGGCAGGGGAUAGGGAUGCCAAAAGAAUGAAGAUACAUCCUGUCCACACACCCACUCCCCACGGGGAAUGCAGUCAGUAUGUACUGCAGGCAUGGGCUCAUGAAAAAUGAAAAUGAACAAAAAAUGACGGCUCCUAAAUGGGAAAUAGACCCUUGAACGUCCUACAACCCAGACUGCUUGGCUAGGAAUUCUACAAGCCCUGAGACAUGCCUUUCAAGUCAGGUGGCUUGACAGCCCCCUCAUCAGAAGGGCGGAAGUUCAGUUUUGGACACAAAGCAGGUACAGGGGAAACAUUUUCCCCAGGAGAGAGGCAUUGACCUCCUUGCUCCCCCGGGGGAUAACUUGUUUCUUUCUGAUGCUUUUUUGUUGACUUGCAGCUGGGCCCAACAAGCCUGGCUCAUAUUUCCCCCCUGUGCCCUCCCUCCCUAAACAUUUGCUGAACGAAUAAACCAAAGGAUAGGAGGCAUCCAAACCCUCAAGACUCCACCGACCGACGACCAACCGCCUGACCGGAGGAGCCAGUUGUUAGGCCUGCAGUUAAAAGUUAAAAGCCUUCCCAAGGUCACAGAGAGGGGUGAGGUCUCUCUAACGGACCGAGGACUUGGCUCUUCUCCACCCUAUUUAUCCAGAGGAGGUCACCCCGAGGGCUGCCUGCCCAUGGGCAAGAUUUCAGUAUGAGCUUUGGGGACCUUAAACCUACAGUAGCUGCAACCCAUAAAGGGAGACCCGGAACUUCAUUAGAUUUGCAAACAUGGAUGACUUAACCCACUCAAUGACGUACUAGGGGGUCACACCUAGAGCACCCUAUGACUGAGCUAACCACCCUCCCCCCCAGCCCUUUUUAUUUUUUAGUUUCACAAAGUUGCCCAAACUGGACUAAAAUUUGCGAUGGAUCCUCCUGCCUCAGCCUCCCUCAGUGGUGGGAUUACAGGCAUGUGACACCACAUUCGCCUGUGUUUUGUUUUGUUUUUUUGUUUUGUGAGCCAGGGUCUUGCUGUGUUGCCCAGGUCAAUCUUAAACUCCUAGUUCCAAGUGAUCCUCCUGCCUCAGCUUCCUGAGUAGCUAUGCCGGACUAGCUGUCUUUUUAAGGAAAAGAAAAUAGCGAUGGUAAAGUUGCAGAGCAAGGAAACAGUGGAACCAGGAUUCAAACCUGAGAACUUGUGCUCCGGUGGGCAUCUAGGCUUAUUCACAUGAACACUAGCCAGCUCAGGCAUUCCCAGGCCUUGUCCAGAUUGUCACAUGCUUCCAGUGAGGACACCAGGAGAGGUCACAGUGCCUCGUUUUUAUGGCCUUGUGUCACCAUCUAUAUCUGGUGGAAAGAAUCACUAUCGAAACACCACAGUGACCUCCCAGACUCUGGCUCCAGGCAGAGCGGGCGUCUGUCCCCAUGGUCAGUGGUGUCCCUUCCAGGCUGCACUGAGCACAGAGCUUUGCUCAGAGAAGCAGCACAUCCGCUAGAAACUCCGGGCUCUGCUGUUCCUGCUUUGGCUUCCCCAGACACGAGGGGAGAGAGGACAACACACAGGCUGCAGCUCCAGCCCUCCUCUUUUUUUUAUUUCGACACAGGAUCUCACUGAGCUGCCUAAGAUGGGUUCAAAUUCUUGAUCCUCCAGCCUCAGCCUCAAAGAGCUGCUAGGAUUGCAGGCCUGGGCCACCAC